GCCUAACACAUGCAAGUCGAGCGGCAGCGAGAGUAGUAGCAAUACUACUUGUCGGCGAGCGGCGGACGGGUGAGGAACACGUAGGAACUUGCCCAGAAGAGGGGGAUAACCAAGGGAAACUUUGGCUAAUACCGCAUAAACUCGAGAGAGAAAAGGUUCCCGCAAGGGUGCCGCUUGUGGAGAGGCCUGCGUCCGAUUAGCUAGUUGGUGAGGUAAGGCUCACCAAGGCGAUGAUCGGUAACUGGUCUGAGAGGACGACCAGUCACACUUGGACUGAGACACGGCCCAGACUCCUACGGUAGGCAGCAGUGGGGAAUAUUGGACAAUGGGGGAAACCCUGAUCCAGCGAUGCCGCGUGGGUGAAGAAGGCCUUCGGGUUGUAAAGCCCUUUAGGUUGGGAAGAAGUAUAUGAGGGGAAUAUCCUUGUAUAUUGACGGUACCGACAGAAUAAGCACCGGCAAACUCUGUGCCAGCCGCCGCGGUAA
RNAcentral lists this ribosomal RNA (485 nucleotides) under uncultured bacterium. Its description in RNAcentral is "partial 16S ribosomal RNA". It matches the Rfam family "Bacterial small subunit ribosomal RNA", at positions 46 to 523 of the family's 1533-position model. The record is from RNAcentral.